AGUGAACGCUGGCGGUAGGCCUAACACAUGCAAGUCGAACGGCAGCACAGUAAGAGCUUGCUCUUACGGGUGGCGAGUGGCGGACGGGUGAGGAAUACAUCGGAAUCUACUUUUUCGUGGGGGAUAACGUAGGGAAACUUACGCUAAUACCGCAUACGACCUACGGGUGAAAGCAGGGGAUCUUCGGACCUUGCGCGAUUGAAUGAGCCGAUGUCGGAUUAGCUAGUUGGCGGGGUAAAGGCCCACCAAGGCGACGAUACGUAGCUGGUCUGGGAGGAUGAUCAGCCACACUGGAACUGAGACACGGUCCAGACUCCUACGGGAGGCAGCAGUGGGGAAUAUUGGACAAUGGGCGCAAGCCUGAUCCAGCCAUACCGCGUGGGUGAAGAAGGCCUUCGGGUUGUAAAGCCCUGUUGUUGGGAAAGAAAAGCAGCAGGUUAAUACCCCGCUGUUCUGACGGUACCCAAAGAAUAAGCACCGGCUAACUUCGUG
RNAcentral lists this ribosomal RNA (492 nucleotides) under uncultured bacterium. RNAcentral describes it as "partial 16S ribosomal RNA". It matches the Rfam family "Bacterial small subunit ribosomal RNA", at positions 29 to 507 of the family's 1533-position model. The record is from RNAcentral.